CUUAAAAUUAAAUUGAAAAGGCCCAACCAAUCAUACUCUCAUUCCCGUCGCCUCUCUCACUCUCAAUCCCAUCUCACAAAAUUCAACUUUCAACCCAAAAAAUCUCUAAAUCAAAGAAAACCCUAUAUCAGAAUCCCCAAAAUCGAAAUUCCAUCUCCCUUCUUCUCCCCGCGAUUUCUACUUCCGACGGGUUGCCGGAGCUUCGCCGGCAUUUUCCCCUCUGCGAAUUCUCCUUCCGGCGAGCUCCCUCUCAAAUUCCAAUCGGAACUCUCGAGUCGAAGUAGCGUCUGGAAAUGAACCCUAGAUCGAGGCGAACUCGGCGGCGCCUCUCCCUUCGCCGUCCGUCGGUCACCGCCGCCGCCAAGCUGGCUGUCCGUUUGAAACACCGCGGCCCGCUGCCGCUGCCUCUGGUCCCUUCGUUGCUGGUGUCCCACCGUGGGGCAAGGAGAUGAAGCUUCGUCUCUCUCUCUCUGCACCCACAGCUUCGCUCCGCCCGCACCGCUGGCCCUCCGUCGAGCUGCGAUUCCGCUCGCUGCAAUCCCAGCCGGCGUCGCCUGGAUGCGCCGCCAAGGUAGCCACCGUCCACCAAUCGGCCCUAAAGCUAAGUCUCUGAACUCUCAUUAUCUAGCCCGCAUCUAUCCCGUUGAUUAGGUGUACAACGGGUGAAGCUUGGUAUUUGGGAUGAUAGCUAUUCACAAAACAUGGAAAGCAAAGCCUGAGGACAAGCUAUGAUUUUUCGUUCUGUUUGGGGGGUUGCUCUUGCUUGGUGGCUUAUAUCCUAAUUUAAGAUACAUAGUACUGUUGUUGCCUACAAAUUAUCAUGUUGCCUGCUGUUAUGGUGUUGAGAAAAUGGUUGUGUGUGUGUUCACAUGGAUGAAAAGGAAUGAUAAGGAGAGUUGUGAUGAUUUACAUGUUGUGGUGAAGGGCUAAAAGGAAGGAAAGUGUUCUACCGUUCUUGCUUGCUCACUGCCCUUUUCCCUAUUGUUUAUUUAAAGUUAUUGAUGAAGUGAAAAACAUAAUCAUUUUUUAUGUAAUUGUAAAAAUAGUGAUGAUAAUAAUAAUCUCUGGUUUUAAAUUAAUUAAUCCAAUCAAAUAUAUGUCUAAAUUAAACCUAUGAUGCAUUGCUUGAUUGAUUUGCUUAUUAUGUUAUAGGCAAUAGUUGAGGUCAAUUAAAUAACUAAAUCUGACUAGAUGAAAAAUCGAACUUUUUUUAACUAAGAGGGAGUAUUGGAGCUUGAUAAAGGGCUGUUGGAAAUAGAUGCAAGAGUGGUCAAGCUUGAGGAAGAGCCUCUGGAAAUAGAGGAACACAUUGUUGGUGCGAAGAUGAAGUUAACCAAGGAUUCUAGUGCGGAUGAGAAUGCAAUAAGGAGCUUCUAAGAGAAAACCUAAGUGAUAGAUAAAUUGUAUAGUCAUUUAGAACCUUUUUUGUACCUUUUUAUUUAAUAUUGUAUACGAUUACAUGAAAACUAUUACAUAAGUUAUUUAUAUAAAAAUAUGUUUUGUAUUUGAAGUCA
Molecule: long non-coding RNA, 1514 nt
Organism: Salvia splendens (bonfire salvia)
Lineage: Eukaryota; Viridiplantae; Streptophyta; Magnoliopsida; Lamiales; Lamiaceae
Exons: 2
Source: RefSeq, a predicted model, not a curated record